Molecule: non-coding RNA, 45 nt
Organism: Schistosoma margrebowiei
Lineage: Eukaryota; Metazoa; Platyhelminthes; Trematoda; Strigeidida; Schistosomatidae
Source: Rfam
AUCCGGCUGACGAGUCCCGAAUAGGACGAAACGCGCGUCCUGGAU